CGAACGGCAGCGCGGACUUCGGUCUGGCGGCGAGUGGCGAACGGGUGAGUAAUGCAUCGGAACGUACCUUUCAGUGGGGGAUAACGUAGCGAAAGUUACGCUAAUACCGCAUAUUCUGUGAGCAGGAAAGCAGGGGAUCGCAAGACCUUGCGCUGAUGGAGCGGCCGAUGUCAGAUUAGCUAGUUGGUGGGGUAAAGGCUCACCAAGGCGACGAUCUGUAGCGGGUCUUAGAGGAUGAUCCGCCACACUGGAACUGAGACACGGUCCAGACUCCUACGUAGGCAGCAGUGGGGAAUUUUGGACAAUGGGCGCAAGCCUGAUCCAGCCAUGCCGCGUGAGUGAAGAAGGCCUUCGGGUUGUAAAGCUCUUUCGGCCGGGAAAAAAUCGCUUGGGUUAAUACCCUGAGUGGAUGAUGGUACCGGAAUAAGAAGCACCGGCUAACUACGUGCCGGCAGCCGCGGUAAUACGUAGGGUGCGAGCGUUAAUCGGAAUUACUGGGCGUAAAGCGUGCGCAGGCGGUUUUGUAAGACAGGCGUGAAAUCCCCGGGCUCAACCUGGGAACUGCGUUUGUGACUGCAAGGCUAGAGUAUGGCAGAGGGGGGUGGAAUUCCACGUGUAGCAGUGAAAUGCGUAGAGAUGUGGAGGAACACCAAUGGCGAAGGCAGCCCCCUGGGCCAAUACUGACGCUCAUGCACGAAAGCGUGGGGAGCAAACAGGAUUAGAUACCCUGGUAGUCCACGCCCUAAACGAUGUCAACUAGGUGUUGGGUGGGUAAAACCAUUUGGUACCGUAGCUAACGCGUGAAGUUGACCGCCUGGGGAGUACGGCCGCAAGGUUAAAACUCAAAGGAAUUGACGGGGACCCGCACAAGCGGUGGAUGAUGUGGAUUAAUUCGAUGCAACGCGAAAAACCUUACCUACCCUUGACAUGCCAGGAACUUGCCAGAGAUGGCUUGGUGCCCGAAAGGGAGCCUGGACACAGGUGCUGCAUGGCUGUCGUCAGCUCGUGUCGUGAGAUGUUGGGUUAAGUCCCGCAACGAGCGCAACCCUUGUCGUUAAUUGCCAUCAUUUAGUUGGGCACUUUAACGAGACUGCCGGUGACAAACCGGAGGAAGGUGGGGAUGACGUCAAGUCCUCAUGGCCCUUAUGGGUAGGGCUUCACACGUCAUACAAUGGUCGGUACAAAGGGUUGCCAAGCCGCGAGGCGGAGCCAAUCCCAGAAAGCCGAUCGUAGUCCGGAUCGCAGGCUGCAACUCGCCUGCGUGAAGUCGGAAUCGCUAGUAAUCGUGGAUCAGCAUGUCACGGUGAAUACGUUCCCGGGUCUUGUACACACCGCCCGUCACACCAUGGGAGCGGGUUCCGCCAGAAGUAGGUAGCCUAACCGCAAGGAGGGCGCUUACCACGGCGGGGUUCG
RNAcentral lists this ribosomal RNA (1413 nucleotides) under metagenome. RNAcentral's name for it is "bacterial SSU rRNA". It matches the Rfam family "Bacterial small subunit ribosomal RNA". The record is from RNAcentral.